This 45-nucleotide non-coding RNA is filed under the name Schistosoma mansoni. The record is from RNAcentral. Lineage: Eukaryota; Metazoa; Platyhelminthes; Trematoda; Strigeidida; Schistosomatidae.
AUCCAGCUGACUCGUCCUAAUUAGGACGAAACUCGCGUCUUGGAU